AUGAAUCCAGUAUGGGAAAAUCUCUGGAAAUUAAGAGUGCCAGCAAAGGUUAAGAUUUUUGCUUGGAAGGCAUUGCACGACACAGUUGCGGCUCGAGCUGUCCUUGCGAACAGACACAUAAAGGUGCCCCCUAACUGCCCGCUAUGCCCAGACGGGGCAGAGGAUAUUCGACACUUAAUUUUCACUUGCCAACGUGCUAAGGAAGUAUGGCGAGCAAUGGGCCUGCCAGAGAUCAUAGAUGAAGCAUUGACAGUAGAUCGGUCGGGCAGUGUAGUGCUGGAGGAAAUCAUCCGCAAUAAUGUGAGAGAAAGACCGACCUUAUCAAACCUCGGUGUUGCAGAAUCAGUAGUGGUGAGAGCAUGGUACAUAUGGUGGCAGAGG
This 381-nucleotide ribosomal RNA is filed under the name Triticum aestivum (bread wheat). Its description in RNAcentral is "partial small subunit ribosomal RNA". Lineage: Eukaryota; Viridiplantae; Streptophyta; Magnoliopsida; Poales; Poaceae. The record is from RNAcentral.